GUUAUUCAUUUGGGCCGCAAAAACAUCAAAGUUCCAGUGUUCGUCUCUCUUCUCUGUCCGGCCGCGACCUCUGAACUUCAUCACUGAAUCUGAAGCGGUCAGAGUUAUGUGUUUUUCGUGUGGUGUUAAAGCCUUAUUAAUUCAAUCUCCAUCAAUCAUCAAUCAUCUUCACCACCCUUAGCAUUCAGAAGUGGAUCUCCCAGAUUCCUUUUAUCUCUACCAAUUGAAGUCGAGUUCUUCUGAUUGUAAAAUCAGGAACCUAGGGAGAGUGAGAAGCUACAUUGCCUUAUACCAGCACCUAAAGCAUAUGUUACGCUUCUCUCUUGGCCCAAGAGUAUAGAUUAUGUGCCUUAUGAAGAGAUGACAGCAAACAAGAGGCUACGUUCUGAAUGUGAAGGUAACGAGAGGUGUUGAUAAGGCUGAGGGAGAACUCAGUCAACAAGAGAUCUAUGUUAACGCUAGCUCAUAUGCUUUGUCGAUUGCUUUAAUCGGUGUUGGAGACGGGCGAUGGGAAGACAUGAGGAAGUUCGACGACAAGAUCCCUAAGCGUGAAUUUGACAACUUUAAGUUUGUGAAUUUCACAGAGAUCAUGAAGAGAGAUUCAUCAGAGUCAGCCAAAGAAGCUGCAUUUGCUCUUGCUGCUCUAAUGGAGAUUCCCUUUCAGUAUCAAGCAGCAACUGACUCAGCCUACAAACAAUAAACAAAGGAAAGAGUAUUUUGAAAUAUCAAAAAGUAAACCUUCAAGAGAAUCAGUUAGAAAGGUAGUUCGUGAAGAAGAGAAAGAAGUUCUGUUGCUUGAUAAUGAUAGUGGUGGCUCUUACACUAUGGAGAUAAUGCUCCUUUCCAUGAAAGUGAUGACAACAGUUCAACAUGGUACGACGAGGGCGAACUACUAUGGACACCUUCGUUGCCACAAAAACUGAGGAUCGGUAUUGUUCUAUCCAAAGGUCAAUUACCUGGUGGGCACACUGUCGUACAUGGACCAUUCGGAUGAUGUUGUCCUAAGAUUAUCAUCUCUAAGUUUUCUUGAUGCUGUAUCAAAGACAUGCAUUGAGAGCUGAAGAAGCAUCUCAUCACUGCUAGCUAUGUUGAUGAUGAAACAUCCAUGCUACAUGAGAUGGCUAAGAAUGCCUCGAUAACGGUUCUUGGUGAAACGACAUCCCACAAUAGUGUGAAUCUCACUUGGCCUUUAGUGUGAAUCUCAACCCUCUUAAUAGUGUUCGUCAGAGGAAAAAUGUGCUGAACCCUAAGCCGCUUAUCCUGAUCUCAUGUUUUAGCUCUGUAAAGAAGUUGCACACAGUGUGAGAUUUCAGUUGCCAUAAACAUUUAAGAUAGAUCUUAAUCAAAAUAUUUUUUCUACAAUCGAAAGGCUGUAUCUCUUUAUUUAUUAUUAUUUUUUUUCUACAA
Molecule: long non-coding RNA, 1407 nt
Organism: Brassica napus (rape)
Lineage: Eukaryota; Viridiplantae; Streptophyta; Magnoliopsida; Brassicales; Brassicaceae
Exons: 7
Source: RefSeq, a predicted model, not a curated record